RNAcentral lists this ribosomal RNA (319 nucleotides) under uncultured Bacteroidales bacterium. Its description in RNAcentral is "partial 16S ribosomal RNA". The record is from RNAcentral. Lineage: Bacteria; Pseudomonadati; Bacteroidota; Bacteroidia; Bacteroidales.
GGAGUCUGGUCCGUGUCUCAGUACCAGUGUGGGGGACCUUCCUCUCAGAACCCCUACGCAUCGUCGCCUUGGUGGGCCGUUACCCCGCCAACAAGCUAAUGCGCCGCAUGCCCAUCCCGGACCGACGGAUCUUUCACCCUAAGGACAUGCGUCCUCAGGGCAUAUGGGGUAUUAGACCCAGUUUCCCGGGUUUAUCCCCCUGUCCGGGGCAGGUCGCAUACGUGUUACUCACCCAUUCGCCGGUCGCCACCAGGGAUUGCAAGCAAUCCCAGUGCUGCCCCUCGACUUGCAUGUGUUAAGCCUGUAGCUAGCGUUCAUC